This is a non-coding RNA of Pelobates cultripes (western spadefoot toad), 206 nucleotides long. The record is from the annotation of a GenBank genome assembly. Lineage: Eukaryota; Metazoa; Chordata; Amphibia; Anura; Pelobatidae.
CCGUUGACUUGGAGGGAGACAGACACGGGAGUAGCAACACUUGAGGGAAGAAAGACCAGAAGUUCUGUUUUGGACAGUUUGAGUUUAAGGAAGUGAGCAGCCAUCCAGUUGGAAAUCGCAGAGAGGCAGUCAGAGACAUGAGUCAAGAUGGGCAGAGAGAGAUCAGAAGAGGACAGGUAGAUUUGUGUGUCAUCUUCACAUAAAUG